AGAGUUUGAUCCUGGCUCAGGAUUAACGCUGGCGGCAUGCCUAAUACAUGCAAGUCGAACGAAAGUAGCAAUACUUUAGUGGCGAACGGGUGAGUAACACGUAGGAAACCUACCUCAAAGACGAGGAUAACUACUGGAAACGGUAGCUAAAACUGGAUAGGAUAUACGAAGGCAUCUUUGUAUAUUUAAAAGUCCUUCUGGGAAUGCUAUGAGAUGGUCCUGCGGCGCAUUAGCUAGUUGGUGAGGUAAAGGCCCACCAAGGCGACGAUGCGUAGCUGUGCUGAGAGGCAAAACAGCCACACUGGGACUGAGACACGGCCCAGACUCCUACGGGAGGCAGCAGUAGGGAAUUUUCGGCAAUGGGCGAAAGCCUGACCGAGCAAUGCCGCGUGAAUGAAGAAAUUCUUCGGAAUGUAAAAUUCUGUGGUGAGGGAAGAAAAGUAUUAGAAGGAAAUGGCUAAUAUUUGACGGUACCUUACUAGAAAGCCCCGGCUAACUAUGUGCCAGCAGCCGCGGUAAUACAUAGGGGGCAAGCGUUAUCCGGAAUUAUUGGGCGUAAAGCGUGCGUAGGCGGCCACUUAAGUCUGUCGUGAAAGCCCACAGCUUAACUGUGGAGGGUCGAUGGAAACUGGGAGGCUUGAAUCUAGGAGAGGUAAGUGGAAUUCCAUGUGUAGCGGUAAAAUGCUUAGAUAUAUGGAGGAACACCAGUGGCGAAGGCGGCUUACUGGUCUAGAAUUGACGCUGAUGCACGAAAGCGUGGGUAGCAAACAGGAUUAGAUACCCUGGUAGUCCACGCCGUAAACGAUGAGCACUAAGUGUCGGACGUAAGUUCGGUGCUGAAGUUAACGCAUUAAGUGCUCCGCCUGGGGAGUACGGUCGCAAGACUGAAACUCAAAGGAAUUGACGGGGACUCGCACAAGCGGUGGAGCAUGUGGUUUAAUUCGACGCAACGCGAAAAACCUUACCAGGCCUUGACAUACCGAUGACGUCUUUAGAGAUAGAGAGUUACCUUCGGGUACAUUGGAUACAGGUGGUGCAUGGUUGUCGUCAGCUCGUGUCGUGAGAUGUUGGGUUAAGUCCC
This 1081-nucleotide ribosomal RNA is filed under the name uncultured Mollicutes bacterium. RNAcentral describes it as "bacterial SSU rRNA". It matches the Rfam family "Bacterial small subunit ribosomal RNA", at positions 8 to 1088 of the family's 1533-position model. The record is from RNAcentral. Lineage: Bacteria; Bacillati; Mycoplasmatota; Mollicutes.